GCUGAACCCUCUGAUACGUAGAAACAUUUUAUAAAUAAAAGUUUAAGUGGCCAGCUUACAUGACUUGACCUACUGCCUAACCACCUCUCUGUGAACUAAAAGGUUGGUCUAAGCAUGGAAAAUUUGCAUUCACUGCCACAGAUAGAACAUCUCUAGUCAACAAAAAAGUUUCCAUACUUCAUUCAAAUCAAGGGAGAAAGCUCAAGCGCCCCACUUCCAUUGUAGCAUUUAUCAGGAGUUUAUUCUGUGAACUUUGCAAAUCAGAUUCACUGUCCCCUAUUUUGUAAAGGAUGGGAUUAAAAUAGAGCAUUUCCUUAAUAUUUACAAAAUUUAACCAUUAUCUCUUUAUAGAAAUUUUGGAAGAGCUGAAGCAACAUAUGAAAAAUGUACUUUACCUUAAACACAGGCAAAUUAUGAAAUCACAGAUUUCCCACGUUACUUGCUCAGAUGGCAUCUUUUCUGAGUCAAGAAGUUUAAAACAACAAAACUUUGGACACUCCAAACUGUAACAAACAAGACAAGAUUUUGAUGGAAAACGCUUCCAAACUCGUUCGACCUGGAGAUGCUUUUCUAAUUAAAGGUUUAAUUGACAAGAAACCGGUAGUAUUUAGCUUUUAAGGGAUCAAGAGGAAGGAACAACAAAACCAACCUAGGUAUUGUUUUUCUUUUGUUUGGGAUCAAAAGGAAACCAUAACCACAAAAAGGUUAAGUAAAAGACCAAGGUACCCAACUCAAGGACAGUGUAUCUCCCAAGAGAAAACAAAACAAAGUUGCAAUUUGUAAACCAAGUUUGAAAUACGCGAAUCAAUUAGCGUGCUUUCGAAAGGCGUGUGAUAAAAACUAAUAGGCUUCACUUACAGAGCAACUUUCACAAGAGAAUGCAGAAGGAUCUCCGCAGAGUAUUAGCCGUGUGCGUGCUUGUGAGAGUCCACACAAGCAGUUCAGAACCCCGGGACUAUAAUGGUUAACAAAGGUUACGGGGGCGGAAAAAAAAAGUGGAAGCAAAGUAUCGCACGCUCCUAACACGGCUUGCCAACAACUCCCGAAACCAGAGCUC
Molecule: long non-coding RNA, 1057 nt
Filed under: Suricata suricatta (meerkat)
Lineage: Eukaryota; Metazoa; Chordata; Mammalia; Carnivora; Herpestidae
Description: lncRNA (ENSSSUG00005023758.1)
Source: RNAcentral